ACAAAGAAGAAAGAGCUUUGUGCUCUAUUAGAUGUUAUGUUAAGGAAGUCUUCACCCUAGAAGCGUUGUAGCUGAGAAUAUUUCCAUAACAAGCCUUGACGCGGAGGGGACGGGAGCCAAACUUCAAAGUACCAAAACACAAGAAAACUUAGCGCAGUCACAAAGUCACAGAUCAUUUUUUUCCGGCAGGUUUUGAAGUUUUCUUUGCAUUGUUCCGGACUUCAGUCUCUGAUUAUGUUAUUAAUGGUCUAUAGCUACACGCAACUGCAUUUCAAGGUGGAGCCAGAGUAUUCCGGACCGUCACUCACCAGCACUAAAAUUGUUCCCAGUGAAUGGUCAAUGCAAUGUAAUCAAUGACAGAAUACGGCAAGAACAUGGAGGGAACGAUCUCUGGAUUCGUGCCAAUAAGGACGCCUUUCAGAUAUCCGGAAUUAUAGUGCGUCUGUAGAACGGACCGACAUUCACAAGUAUCACAAAAGAAAAAAACUCCAACGCUCAUUGUAAAUGCAGGUGGGAAAAUGACAACUAUAGAAAAUCGGGGCAAAGGUUCAAGAAAAUCAAUGGCCGCCCUUUCACUUAGCGAUAACAGCAAGCAGAUUAUUUGCCACUUUAGUCAAUUGCUUCAAGCUGAAUUACGGAUUAUUUACUCUAAAAAAGCGAUGGUGAUAUUGACAAUAGACUAGAAUUAGGGCUAAAUGGGGUUUUCCAUUUAAAAAAAUUAAAAUUUUUGUUGUUUUUCUCUCUUUGCACUAAAAAUAAAA
Hyla sarda is the source of this 761-nucleotide long non-coding RNA. RefSeq lists it as uncharacterized. Lineage: Eukaryota; Metazoa; Chordata; Amphibia; Anura; Hylidae. The transcript has 3 exons. The record is from RefSeq and is a predicted model, not a curated record.